Diorhabda carinulata is the source of this 439-nucleotide long non-coding RNA. RefSeq lists it as uncharacterized. NCBI's taxonomy places the organism in Eukaryota, Metazoa, Arthropoda, Insecta, Coleoptera, Chrysomelidae. The record is from RefSeq and is a predicted model, not a curated record. The transcript has 3 exons.
UUUAUGGAUUCCUUCCCACGUAGGUAUUAAAGAAGAUAUCAGAUGUAUGGAGCAACUAGGGAAUUUUCACAUUACUAUUAUUUAAUUAAUUCCGGAGUAUGAUUUCGGCACAGUUGUGCCAUUCUACAUCCAAAUAGGCGGGAACCAAAUCCACUACAAAUUAUAGCCAAACAUGUACGCUACUGUUAUUCACCGACUUGAUUUCAACCUAUUGCUAUUGUUUGUAAUUUGGUAUGAAUAAAAUCUUCGCGUUGAAAAUGAAAUCCCUUCACGGAACCCAGUUUUUUAUUAAGGUAUAUUCCGCCGUCAAUGUUUAAUUUGAGAUGAAUGUUUUUUCUUAAGUUUCUGUAUUUUUAUGUUUCUUUAGAUACAACAGAAACGUAUUCGCUAAAAGACAUUGGCUAUAAAUUGAGAUGAAAAAUUAGAUUACCAGAAUAGA